GACGAACGCUGGCGGCGUGCUUAACACAUGCAAGUCGAACGGAAAGGCCCUGCUUUUGUGGGGUGCUCGAGUGGCGAACGGGUGAGUAACACGUGAGUAACCUGCCCUUGACUUUGGGAUAACUUCAGGAAACUGGGGCUAAUACCGGAUAGGAGCUCCUGCUGCAUAGUGGGGGUUGGAAAGUUUCGGCGGUUGGGGAUGGACUCGCGGCUUAUCAGCUUGUUGGUGGGGUAGUGGCUUACCAAGGCUUUGACGGGUAGCCGGCCUGAGAGGGUGACCGGCCACAUUGGGACUGAGAUACGGCCCAGACUCCUACGGGAGGCAGCAGUAGGGAAUAUUGCACAAUGGGCGGAAGCCUGAUGCAGCAACGCCGCGUGCGGGAUGACGGCCUUCGGGUUGUAAACCGCUUUCGCCUGUGACGAAGCGUGAGUGACGGUAAUGGGUAAAGAAGCACCGGCUAACUACGUG
Molecule: ribosomal RNA, 468 nt
Filed under: uncultured bacterium
Lineage: Bacteria
Description: partial 16S ribosomal RNA
Rfam family: Bacterial small subunit ribosomal RNA
Source: RNAcentral